UAGGUGCAAUUGUUAUCUUCAUUUUACAGAUGAGGAUACUUGUCUAGGACACUGAGCUAGAAAGUAUGUACAACAGAAUUUAGAGUUAGUUCCUUCUUCUUCAGUGCCCUGCACCACAUGCCCAGUGUCAAGCAAUUGCCACAGUAAGUCACCUUCAGGUGGAGAAACUGAGGCUCAGAGACAUUGUGAGUUGCAUCACAUAAUGGAUAAUGGAUGAAACAUCUACCUGAUACCAGAUACUCUGGUACUUAGAAUAACUUUGGAUCCAACAAUCCUAUGCAUUGCACUGGAGAAAUUUUGUUGGAAUGAUGCCAAGUCCUGGAAAAAACCUCUUAUAAGACCAUGGAAUCAUCUUUCUUGCUUCCACAUGAAGAACAUCAAGCCUGGGUUCUGUGAGGGCAUCUCUUGUGGAAUACCAUUUUGGUUUUGGCAUUUCUAUAUGGCUUUUAGAGUUAUUGUUUACUGUCUCAUUUUGCAGUGAGUACUGACCUAAUUUUCUGGGCAUUAAAUGCUUCUCCAGUUUGGGAAGUGAAUUUAGCCUUGGAAACCUUCCUUAGAACCCUCCAUCCUUUCUUGAUUUUCUCUGUUUAAUACAUUAGACUUUCCCUUAAACAUGCCAA
This 620-nucleotide long non-coding RNA is filed under the name Monodelphis domestica (gray short-tailed opossum). RNAcentral's name for it is "lncRNA (ENSMODG00000031748.2)". Lineage: Eukaryota; Metazoa; Chordata; Mammalia; Didelphimorphia; Didelphidae. The record is from RNAcentral.